UGGGUGGCUUGUUCUCCUGCCAGAUGACGACGCUAGUGUGCAAAUCAAUCAUGACUAAAAUAAAAAAAAUGAUUAUAUUGAAAAUUCACUCAGAACAACCCAGAAAUGAUAUCGCCAAAUUCAGAAAUAUUCAGAGGAAUGCUCACUCAGGCAUUUUUCAUUCAGCCUUGUGUUCUGAUGAUAGAAGAAACAUGGUUUAUAGAGCUGUUUCACAAUGAAUAUCUGCUCAAUCAAGAGGAAGCAUUUCUCAUUAGUUUUAGUACACACCAUGUUUAGAGAGGUGAUAUACGUUUUUAGAAGCUGAACUUCAACUGAAAUAAUACAUCAAGGGGUUAGAACUGAAUUGAGUAUUUUUUUAUUAUUAUUAUUUUACCUAUGCUGCAAUCUAAACAGGCACCCCAUUCUAAAUAAUCUGAAAACUCAACAAUCUAAACAGGUUUCCCAUUAUAAAAUUAUAAAACACAUGAAAUUGGUUGUACCUUCAAUUCAGGGAAGGAGGUUUUGCGAGUGCGAAACACCUGUUCGUAGUGAUAUGGGAAUAGAUAAUGGUGGCAGCGCCGUAGGCUGAAAUGACGGUGAGACGGCCCUCUUGACAGAAGAGUCUUAUACUCAAGCAAUUCCUUACACUGAUGAGAUGAAACCAAUUCAGGGAGAAAGCUUAAAAAAUAAAAUACUGAUGACAUCCCAUAUUUUAGUGGUGCAAUCAAUAUAGAAAACAUUGUCAUUAUAUUCAUCAGAACUUGGACAUGAUAAUAUACCAUAAUGAUUGUUUUGGUCGUUGUAUUUUGGUUGAUUAUGGAAUAUAUUAAGAACCAUAUGAUGAAACGAGAGGAGGAUUUAUGUACCUUUAUACGAAUCAGAGAUCCAUGGCUGGGUGGAGGCGGGCGACAAGGCAGGCGACGGUGUCUGGGUGGUGGAGAUCGGGGGCGGCACGGAGGACGGGAGGAGACAACCGAGGCGGGCAACGAGGAGAGGAGGCGGGCAACGGUGUCUGGUGGUGGAGAUCAGGCGGGCGCGUCUGGGCGGUGGUGAUCGGAGCCGGCGCGGAGAUGGGCGUCGCCGAGUCUGAUGACGCAGCUCUGGCGGUGGAGAUCGGGGAUCCGCAGUGCCGGCGGCGGGGUAGGGUUUGGGGAUCGGGAAAGGCGGCGCCGGCGGCGAUGGGCGAGGGGCAGAAGAGAGAAGGCGAGGGGGGAGGGGGGGCGUGAGAGGGAGUUACGCGCGCGAGAGAGAGGGUGCCAAGGUGGGCUCGGGGAGGAGCGCGGAGGGAAGGGGGGACUCAUCUGGGCCACUCGAUUAUUUGUAGAUGAAUACUGAUAGUUGGAUUUGAUGAAUGAGUAAUGUAGGUGUAAGAAUGAGUUGGUGCAAUAAAGUUUUGUUUUGUUUAAGAGGAAUUUUACUAUCCUUGAGGAGUCUCAAGGUACCACCAGGUAUCUACCUCCUUAAUCAAUUGAUAUCCACCGUUAAUUCACAAAGGUUAAUUUAGGGACAAAAUUUAUUAUUAACAAGGAUAGCUUAGUAAUUGACCAAUCACCGGUUCUCCAUCCACUGCCAAGCGUUCACGAUUUCCUUUCCACGAUUUCAGUGCUUAACCAUAAUCAAUUCCAAUCCCAAUUGAACGAGCUCGGAGGCAAGGAGCAGGGGCUGCGCGCGCGACGGCGGCGACCAGCAAGCACGUGCGAGGCGGCGACCGGCUAGCGCGAGCAAUGGCUAUGACCAGCGUGCGGCGGCGGUGAUGUCGACUGGCUGCCGCAUACGUCGGCUACGAUGGGCGGGCGAGACGGGCGCGUGCGGCGGCGGAGACGGCGACCGACUGCCGCGUUAGUUUGCUGUGACUGGAGGGCGCAUAAUUCAGCAGCGACCUCAGCGUGUGUGCAGCGGCUGAGACCGGUGGGCGCGUGCGGCCUCGGUGAGCGGCGGGCGCGUACGGCGGUGACAAGACAUAUCGGUAAAAGUAUUACAUAAACGUUUAACUACAUAAAGAAGCACAACGUUCUUCCUCCUCUGCUGCAUGAAUGCAGCUUAUCUUGAAACGGAUAGGAGUAGGAUACAGAUCUAAAAAAAAGACGAUUUUGUCCUUAGCCAUACAAAUCAAUUAUAAAACUCAAUUACCAUUUUAACCUUUCACCUUACAUACUUUGCCCACUCUUUUAAUACCUUUCUUCUAGUAACUUCUCUCUUGGAGCGUUAGAUCAUUAGAGAUCAACGAUCCUAAUUAAUUCCAAGUAUAGAAGAAGAUCUCACCAUUUAAAUAUAACCGUCUAUUUAAAAAGGGUAGGAUUGGAAUAUGUAAUUGCCAGCUCCUGCUUGCAACACCAUCGUCUCAAAUCAUUCGCUAUAUGUUGCGCCACAGUUAUAGAUGGCCAAAUGAGCCACCCAGCCCGACACGGCCCAAUAGGGGUCGGGGCACCAUGCUGAGCCAGUCCGAAGGCACGGACAGCCCAUCGUGCUUUCUUUAAAAUAAAUCUAUUUCCCCUCCCUCUUUUUUGGGUUGUGACAUAUAUAUAUAUAUAUAUGUAUAUAUAUAUAUAUAAUUUUCUAAUAAUCUACUCGAACGCCCAUGUGUUCUCCUUGCGGAUUUCCUCCUCCUCCGGCGUGAAGUCGUUCUUGAUCCCAAACUCCUUCCUGAUCUGCUCCGGCGACUUGCCUUUGAUCAGGUUCGCCGUGUGCUGGCAGCACAAAUCCAGCAAGCUCUUGAUGUUCAGGAAAUUGGACGCCAGGAGCAAGCCGUACAGCAUGUUCUUGUCCACGUCGAUCAUGAACUCGGCGUCGAAGCUCUUCAGCUCCUUCUCCUCGUCCUCCGCGGCGGCGGCGUGCUUGACGCAGUAUUCGAUGACCUUGGCGAGGACCUUGGAGGCGACGUUGGGGAGAGGCACCCCGUUCGUCGUGCAGUCGUUCUCGAUCAUGUUGGAGACGAGCUGCGACAGGCUCGCCGCCGCCGACGGCACGUUAAAGUGCUCGCCGUCGGAGCUGAUUAAGAGGAUCGUGUCGUCGGCAACCUCCUUCUUGUCUGCCGCCAUUGAUCUCGCUACUUUGAAACACGGACGGACGAAACUCGCGGAUUGCAAAGCUCAACUGUUUCUUGUCUUUCUUGGAACGUAAACGUUGGGUGUGCUUGGAUCAUGGCGAGAGAGGAGGUGGUGUGUUUUUAUUGCGUGAAACCGCGCAAAAACAACUCGGAUUCGGUCAUGUGGAGUCGAAAUCCAAUCCGAAUUCAAUUGAUUUUCGGUGAUUUCCGCGUUAGUUUGGUGUACGUACGUCGUCGAGACUCGAGAGAUUUUUAACUGGACUGAUCUUCGGAACCUUCUUCCAUAGUCUAAUUAGACUCCUUUUGGAAACGAGUACUCUAAUUAUUUCUCGAUAUUAAUUAAUUUACAAUUAUUACAGUAGUAAAAUGAGAUUAAAAUACGACUCCUACUCGGAGUUUAAUUAUCUCACGCUGCUUUAUGCAAUAAAUACAAUCACGCCGCGAGGUUCUAUCUGAUUAACACCAAACUUUCCAAGCCAUCGACCAAAUAAUACUACUUCAGGAUUAGAUUAUCGUCAGAAGUUCAUCAACAAUGGCGGCAGCAGCAGCGGAGGCCACGACCGAUGGCGGCGGCAAGAUGAUCAUCCUGAUCAGCGCCGACGGGAAACGCUUCGAGGUGACGGAGGCGGUGGCGAGCCAAUCGCAGCUGAUAUCCAACAUGAUCGAGGACGAUUGCACGGAGAACGGGGUGCGUCUCCCCAACGUCGACGGCGACAUCCUCACCAUGGUCGUCGACUACUGCAACAUGCACGCCGGCGACGCCGCCGCCGCCGGCGACACCAUGAAAGCAUCAAGCACGGAGGAGGAGCUGAAGAAGUUCGACGCCGAGUUGGUGCAAGCCCUCGAGAAUCCGGUGCUGUUCAAGCUGAUCUUGGCGGCCAAUUUCUUGAACAUCAAGAGCUUGCUGGACAUGACGUGCCAGCGCGUGGCGGACAUGAUGUCCGGCAAGACGCCGGAGCAGAUGAGGGAGACGUUUUCGAUCGAGAACGACUUCACGCCGGAGGAGGAGGCGGCGAUUCGCCAGGAGAACGCCUGGGCCUUCGACGACUAGCUGUAGCUGCCUACAUCAUCAAAUUUAAUCUAAGCAGAAUUUAGGCAUAUAUAUAUAUGAGAUUUUCUUAGUUUUAUGAUUUAGGUGUUUUAUGCUAAGUAAUUAAUCGCUUAGAUGUUUUGCUUAUUAUAGUACUGAGACUUCCUCCGGUGCUUGGGAGUUAUGGUGUCCGUUGAUUACUUGCCAGUUGCCAUCUAACGGUCUGUGAUAAAAGGUAUGUCUCAGAAGGUAUAAUUAAAAAAAUGAGCAAGGUAUUAACUUGAUGAUUAGGUGGAAGGUUAGAUUGAUAACUUUAGUUUCAUACAGAUUAGAGGGUGGGGCUUUAAUCAGUAAAAGAAUUAGGAUCGAUAAGCCCUGCUUGCUGAUAAGAACAGCUUUCUUCAGCAAGUACCAUACGGACGAAACGCCACCACCACUGAUGAUCCACAAUGACCAUGAAUUUUGUAUACAUACACAGAUUCAACAAACUGGUUGAUCGAGCCAUACUUGUCUUUGUGUAUGGACGAAAGAGGAUUAUAUUUGUUUCUUUGGAGUCUAAAUUUAGAUGAGGACCUGAAGAAUCAAUUAGGGAAAGGGGAUUUUGGACAAGUGUUAGGAUUUAUGAUCUCAUGUACUAAAACGCAAAAAAAAAUUGAAUUACCUAGAAACGAUGCGAACGACAGAAUCGGAGAUAAGUAAUAACUUGAUGCAAAAAAAGAGAUAGACGGUUACAUGUAAAAGGAGUUAAUUAUCGGUGUUUAUUAAUGUUUUCUAUUCCUAAGUUGCCCUUAACAGAUCAACGGUGGGUGAUUAAGUAGUAAGGGAGGUACCAGAAAGUAGUAAGGGAGGUACCUCUGGUACCUCUCAAGCACCUUAAAAGCUCUCUAUAGUACUAUGUACAUUUGUAAUCUUUUCGAAUCCUAAUUUAUAGAGAUCUUCUUCUGUGCUUGGAAUUAAUUAGGAUCGUUUAUCACUAAUGAUCUAACGCUCUAAGAGAGAAGUAUCAGGAAAAAUGUAUUAAAAGUGUGGACCAGGUAUGGAAGGUGAAAGGUUAAAAUGGUAAUUGAGUAUUAUAAUUGAUUUUUACGGUUAAGGGCCAAAACGUCUAAUUUUCAAUAGGCAAAAUUUGCCUCAGAACACUCAAAAAACGUGUAAUUGGCUGGGAGACACCACGAAAACGUGACACGGCUGAUAGACACUACAAAAAAUGUGUAAUUAGCUCUAGGACACCGGUCGCAUUAUUUUAUUAUUUCUGGGUCAAAAGAGGUGAGAUAUUUUUCUAAAUUCCUGGAUUGCCCCUUCUCUUUCCUUCCUUUUCUCCCACUCUUUCCUUCUUUUCACCUUCUUGUUGAUUUCGCCGAGAACGGCAUAGCAGCCUCAAAGCCGCGGUGGGGCGAGGUCGGCGCGGCGUGGUGCGGCAACAUCGGCGGCCAGGGCGGUCGAUGGCAUGGCACGACCAUGGAGGCGCGGUGUCCAGCUAGAUCGAUGGCGGGUAGGCGACGACAGUGCCGGUGUAGCGGGGCGCGGCUGAGCGGCAGCACCAAGCGCAGGCGGGGAGGCUACGAUGGGUCUUGGCAUCACGACUUGGGUCCCGGCGUCACCACUGCUCACCGGAGAAAGCGGAAUCGACCAUGGCGAUGGCGGCGGGUUCAGAUCGGCGCCGAUGAAGAAGGGGUGUGAUCUCCUUCUCCGGCGCACCAUUUUUCGGGGUCCUUGAGGGGAGAUAGAGAGGAGGAUGAGGCGGAGAUGCUGGCGCGACAGCUUGGCCCGGCUUGGUCCAGAUAAGCGGGAACGGCGAUGAUGUCGCUGCGGCGGUGCACAGAGCGCGCUCCAGAGCUCUGGUGGGCACGACAGCGUUCCCGUCGAUUGGCUGCACGAAUCGAGAGGUUGUCAAAGCGAGAUUUGAUCGGCAUGGAGAGAAGAUAAUAGAACAUGAAUUAGAUAGGAAUGGAGACAGCUCGUUGGUGAUCGGCGGCGCCCUCCUUCUCGGCGGUCGACAACAAAAGAGAGAUAGAGAGGGAGAGCUGGAGCUCUCUUCCUCGGAUGGCGAUGCAGCAGGGACGAGAUGGCGAUGCGUCGAACUCAGCCGGCGCCGAUCUCUCUCUCGGCUGUCUCUGGUCGAUCUCUCUCCCGUCGCACGCCCAACACGACGAGAUGAGGAGGCUAUUCUCCAGGUUCGGCAAGAUCUAGAGGGAGAAGAAGAUAAGGGCAAAACUGUCAUUUUACGUUGUUUCUCUCUCAUCAAUUGAACAAAUAUUAUACUAUAAUGUGUCCAGUGUCCUGCAGCAAAUUACCACAUUUUUUUAGUGUCCUCGGGCAAAUUCUUGUUUUCGUGGUGUCCCAUAGCUAAUUACAUAUUUUUUGAGUGUCCUGUAGCAAAUUUUGCCUUCAAUAUAUGUAUAUCCUUCCUAUAUAUGUUCUGUUCUGUAUUCCAUCCAUUCGUAUCGCUGCUUGGUUCGAGGCGUCGGUGGAGGUGACUUAGGCGCUGAGGCAUAGGGGGAGAGACGGAGGCAGACGGGCACCCCUUACAGCGUCGACGACCGUGAGCUCGGCUCACAGGAUCGCUAGCUCGCGGCAGCCGCCCGCGCCAUCGCCGCUUUGGAGCUCUCCUCGUCGAAGCCGGACGCACCCACCGAUCGCAGCCGCUGCACGCGCCCUGGGGUUGCCGCCGCCGUACACGCCCUACGGUCACAGCUGACUAAUGUGGCAGCCGGUCGCCAUCGCAGCCGCCGCACGCGCCCGUAGCGCCCGCCAGUCCAAGCCGACACACACGGCAGCCGGUCAUCGUCGCGCCGCCGCAUGCACCUGUUGCGCCCGCUGGUCUCCAUUACCGCCACCGCAUGCGCUUGUUGCGCCCAUAGCGCCCGCCCGUCGCCGACUCGCCGUCACCACCGCCACACGCGCCCAUCACGCCCGCUGGUCACAGCCGCCGCGCACGCUCCCGCCGGUCGACGCCGUCACACAAGCUGCCACUGCCACUAAUUAAGAUACCCCUGUUAAUAUAAUUUUUUUUCCUAAAUUACCCUUUAUGAAUUAACGGUAGAUAUCAAUUGAUUAAGGAGGUACCUAAGGUACCUUCCAAGUACCGUAAAAGAUCUCUAAUUUAUAAUAUGCAACAAAGUUAGUUUUGUUUUGUUUGAGAGGAGUUACCAUCCUUGAGGAGGUACCAGAAUGUGUAAUUGCCAGUUCGUGCUCACAACACCAUCGUCUCAAAUCAUUCUCUCUGCGUUGCGCCACAAUUAUAGUUGGCCAAAUGGCCCGCCCGGCCCGGCAUGGCCUAGGCCAAGAUUUGUCGGGCUGGCACGGUUCGACCUACACACCAGGUCGUACCGUGCCGGCCCACGUGCUCCACCUAUGGCCCAGGCACCCAAUAAGGGUCGGGCCGUGCUGGGCCGGCCCGAAGGCACGGGCAGCCCAUCGUGCUUUCUUUGAAAUAAGUCUAUUUCCCUCCCUCCUCUUUGGGUUGUGACAUAUAUAUAGCUAAAAUAAGUCUAUUUUACGUCCCUACUCUUUGAGUCGUGCCAUAUAAUACGUCGAUUUGUCUUCCUAUUCUCUGUGCCCUGUCUUACAUAUGGUCGAAAGUAAGUCUAUUUCACCUCCUUGAACUUCAUGUCGUGCUAGGCCGGCCCACCAUGAUGAGGCAUAGGCCCAGGCACAGCCCAACAGCUGGGCCGUGCCGGCACGGGCCUGACAGCAAUCGGGCCUUGCCGUGCCUGGUCCGUGCCAUCGAGUCAAAACCUCGUGCCUUGGGCCAAAGGUGGGUAAAUUGAACUAUUUUGAUAUUUAGAGAGUGUUGGAUACCCGGUUUUAGAGUUUGCUAUGAAUUUUAGACCUAGACAGGACUUGAAGGGUGUAAAAUGGAUUCAUCCCUAUUUUUUUAUUACAUAUAUAUAGAAAUAUUAAUAAAUAUAUAAUUUUAUUUAUGCUAUUUUUAGACUAAAACUAAUAUAGUUCUCCUUAUUUCUAACACAUACUUUACAUCAUGAUAUUCAUAGUCCAAGUCUUUAAAACUUUGACAAUAGUCUUUGUUCAAGAUGACAAGUAUUAUGAACCCCUCUAGAAGUACAAAUUUAUUGAUACUCUUUCUUCCUACCUUCUACUCAUUUGUUUUCUGCGAGUAAACUUCCCGAAUGGCUAGAUGUACAACACGUUUUUUCGCAAAAAAAAAUAGUAAAAUUAAUUUUAAAAAAAUCAUAUUAAUUCAUUUUUAUGUUUUUCUUUAGGACCAAUUGCAUAUUUGCCACUCGAUUGAACCGGUAUUGUGAAUAUGCCAUUAAAAAAAUUGCAAUUGCAAAUUUGCCACUAAAAAUGAUUUGAACCCUACCUACCUGCCAUUGGAUUGACGGCAUGAGCUAACAUCGUUAAAAGGUAUAAACAUUAUAGCAUCUGAGGCAACAAACAAAAGACAAGAAACAUUUGGCUAAGGCUCCAUAGCAUAUCAAAUGGAUGCUAACUGAAUUUAAUUCUCCUUCCCAUUCCCUCUAAUGCUAACUUAAGUGGCAAAUUUGCAAUUCAUGUUUUUCUAAUGGCUAUUCCGAGUUAGGGGGUGGAAAGUAGUGAUAUAUUUGCAAUUCUCCCUUUUCUUUAAGCUAAGACUUAAUUAUUCAUGCGCUAAUGAGCCACCUUGUUUUACGUGCGCGGGAAAGAAGCUUCCAGCCCCUACCACUAAACACACGGCCUAAUACUGGCACCUUCCAUCAUGGUUUACUAGCCUGUGAUGUCGCGCAUUCGCGUGACUCUAUGCCUCCUGUUACAUGGUACUUAGGAGUGGCAAUAUGUUUUUAUGGGUUUCUCAUCGCUCGUAAAAAAUAUAGGUCAGAAUGACUAAUAUUAUGCUCAUACAAUAGAUAGCUUAAUAUUUAUUACAAAUUUUGUAUCUGAGUGAGUCAUUGUUUUAUAGGUUUUCACGUUGCAUGACCCCUUAUUUUGAAUAAGCGCACACUAUUUAUAGCCUAUGCUGAAAUAUUUUGUAGGUUUUUAAGGAAUGAAUUUGAUUUCAUUUUAUAUUCAUGUGAAAAACAUUAAACCUAUAUUCGGGCGAUAUGAUUGUGCAUGUUCUUGCAGCAAUUUUUGCCUCAAAUAUGUUAACAAUUAAUUGUUAGAAACAAAAUUAAUCGUAUGAACGCACAUUUGUAUAUGUUCUUAAAUAGCUGAAUCUUGACAUGUGAAUAUUUAAUUAGGAUGAGGGUUUAUUUGUAAAAUAAUUUAUUUUAUUACAUGAGCAAUUCAUAAAUUAUUUGCAUCCUAUGCCUAUUCUCUAGCUUUUUUCCCCUUCCCUCUUUCUUUCCUCUUCUAGUAGCUUUAUCUCCGGAAGCCUCUUUAAUUAUUAUUUUUAUCAUCCAUCUAAUCCAACGGUCCAGAUUCAUUUAUUCUCAAUUCAUCAAAUGAUGUCACUCAUCCUCAAUUCAUUUUGAGUUUCACUUUUCAUUAGUUAAGAUAUCGAUAGCUUUAGUGUUGGCAUCUUCUUGCUUGAUGCAACAAUACUACUAUUACUUAAGUAAUCAUGCACAUGCAACACAUGUAAUAACCACUAUGAUUUAAAACAAGCAUAUUGCCCAUGUAAUGCAAGAUUUCCGUCAUAUUUUAUGUAAUUCAGAAUCCAUAAUAAAAAAGGUAAAUCAUUCAUGAUACUAUAUUGAAAUUUAAUGUACCAACAAUACACAUAAGUCUCUAUAUAAAAAUACAUACAACAUACAAAAGGAUGAGGAUCAAUGGUCUCCGAACUAGCACUUUACACAUUGUUGAUGCAAAAAAAAAAUAAAACCCUGGCCUAAGAGAUUUGCUUAACUCUAGUGAAAAAGCUUGCCUUCAGACCUAAGGCGUGCCAAUUGGUUUAAUACUGCAACCAACAAGAAACAAGAUAAACAGUUAAAUUUAUAAACGAUAGCCAAUCGGCUGGAGGGCUGAUGACAUAUCGUCUUUAACCUAGCCGAUGCAACCUGGUUUGAAUCAGCUGUAAGGUGUAGCAAUAAAAUUAAGACCCUAAAUUCAUGUCAUCAGCUGUAAAGAUUAACAUUACAUAAUCUAUGAAUCAUCAUUACUUGAAAUAACAGUGAUUGGGAUAGAUAGAACUUAAUCGAGACAGUAUAAAUCACUUGUAUCCGAAGUUAUAUGAAAUAAAGAUUAUACGAGUUCAUGUCAUAGCUGAUGAAAGAAUUUAAGCAUGUAUCGGCUAUAGCUUCAAUACAACCUUAUACUGGAAUAUUACUCUAAUAUAAAUAUAUUGAACAAAUAUCAAUCUAAUGUUUUUUUUGCGGGGAAAUAUCAAUCUAAUGUUAGAUUAAUUAUAACAAGACCGAUGAUAAGCAUAAUAUAUUUAGAUGAUUAAGAUUCCAAUAUAAGGGCAGAUAUAACUUGUAAAGCAAUACAAAGCAAAGCAAAACAAUUAUAUCAUGUAAGAUCGGUGGAAACUCCGAUUCUAUCCUUAAUUACAAUCAUAAAGUAGCCUAGAGAUUAUGGUUCUAAACAUGACUUAGUAGGUCGAACCCAAUUGAUGCAACACUAAGUGUAUAGAGAAACAUAAUAUCUAGACAAUCAAGAUGAUGAUUGUUUUUCAGGAUGGUGGAUAUGUUAUACUAAUCUAAGCCAACAAAGUAAUCUAGCCGUUAUCGGGAAAACCCUAGAAAGUGAUCGACCAAUAUAAGUACAAAGUAUUGUCAAUCUAGAUUAUAUAACAUAUAUGAUAACUCGACAUUUUACAUGAGCAAGAUUAGAGUGUCAUAAUGAUGUAAGCACAAAUCCCGAAAAUGCUAACCACCAUAACAAGUUUUACCUCUUGUCGAAGAUCGUAAUCGAUGCAGCCCAACUCAAAAGCAAGAACUCGUCGAAAAGUAAAGUAAUGAAAAGGUGGCGAUGCGCCGAGAGUAUAUAUUUAUACCCAAAUACAUAACUCAUCCAUAACGGACACGACUCACACUUCCUAUUACAACUCUAACCGACGAACAAGUCCCUUAGGUGGACUCUUAAUAAGGAAAAUACUUAAUAUCCUAAUUAAUGGAUACAAUUUCCUAUCUCGGACUCUAUCCUUGCCCAGCAAUAUCAUUGAUGCUCUUCAUUCAAAUCCGACAUUGAUUAUGAGACCAAUCUUGCCAAUAUCGGUUGUAUCGACUCACCGUGUUCAACUCGAUAUCAGCCUAUACAGACUUCCAGCCGAUGCAAACUCUGCUUCCAGAAAUAUCGCAUCUCUUCCAAAUCUAAUUCAGUGUUUAUCUCCAAAUCCAAUCCAUAUAUUACCAAAUUUGGUCGUUAACUCAUAUCUUCCAAACUAUGUUGAUGAUGGCCAUAGAAAUCGCUAAGUGGGGAACAAAAAUCUUCAUUUACCGGCCCACCACCGUCAUUUGACUUUUUCAUAUUAUAAGUAAUUUGACUUUUUCCUAGUCAAGUUUGACUAAGCUUAUAGAACAAAAUAGCAACAUCUAAAAUAUCGAAUUUGUUUCAUUUAAUGUAAUAUUGAAUAUAUUUUGACAAUAUGUUUUUUUGUUGAAAAUACUAAUAUAUUUUUCUAUUAACUUGGUCAAACUUAGAUUGUGUUUUCGAGACAAGAAGUUUUUUGGUAGAGUCUUGGAAAAUUCUAUAGGUCACAUAUUUCAUCUAUUUGAGUUUAACUUUUCUAUGGUUGGUUCUUGUGGGCUCCUAAGUGUGAAAAAAAUAUCAAAAACAUAAAAUAAAAAUAAAAAAGUUGCACGUCUCUCUUCUACACUAGAGAGGAGAGGAAAAAUAUGGCAUGGGUAGAGGGUGGGGGGGGGGGCGGCGCCAGCCUCAUUGGCGCGCUCCCCCUGCCACGUCAGCGCUGACUCGCCACGGUGGCAGGAGGACGGCGCCAGAGUGGCUGGCCCGUCCCAUUGGACCACGGUGCCAGCCACUCUGGCGCCACCGAUAUGACCAUUUCCGGGAUAAGUUUUUUCAGAGGUCUAUUUAUUAAAUAUGUUUUUCAAAAGGACCAAAUUGUGAAACAUCCAGGAUGGGAGACGGCCUCGAGCUGUCGAGCAUGCCGGCCGGUCACCUACUAGCCAGCCUCGGCGGUGCGCGUGAAGAGCUUCUUUUAUGUCCUCGAGGGCCAUUUUUGCUCGCCUCCACCUCACCCACAUCGUUAACAUUUUCUUGCCCAUUCCGAGUGAAGCUUCUGCUGCUUCGAUGGUUCAACGUGCUCGACUAAGGCGAGGUGGUGCGUGGCACGGAUGUUUGCGAGACGGCGUUCACGGCAAGCACUAGAUCAGCGAGGAUGGCAUGUUCAGCACCCUAUGCUGCAAUAUGCGUGCCACGCCCGGUGGCCGGUGGCGGUGAUCGCCAAUCGUCAUGGCGAGGAUGGCGAGCAUGCGGACAUGAGCAGCGAGAUGACAAUCGAAGACGCGCUCUGGAGUCUAGACUCGCUCGACGACGUCGGCUGGCGCGCGCGUACACGUACCGGAAUCGCGCAAAGGAACAUCGAUCAUCGUAAUGGCGGAUUCCAUAUCCCCACAGCGCGUUCAACGUGCUCGACCUCAGCGUGUCUGACUUGGGGCUGAUCCUGGCCCUCCUUGUUGGCGCGCGCACUCGUGAGGCACAGCGCUGCCACAUCGGUCUGGGACUGGGAUGGCGGUCGGUCGUUGGCGUCUCGUUCCACUUCCACGCUCUCAGAACGGAUCUUGGGGAAGCAGAGCACGUACGUGCCAGCGCCCGGUGAGGUGUGUGAGUACUGGAUCAACGACGACAAGUUAAUUAGGCACCCUGUCCCUGUGCCGGCGCUGUGCGCCCUUCGAAAAUGAUCGACGUGCUGCGCCAGGUGCCGGUGAUCGCCACUAGCCGUGCAUGGCAACGACGAUGAGCAGCAGCUAUGCACCUUAACCGGCCGGUAAUGGUGCAAGUGGAGCAGGCUACGCCGCCAACACGGCUUCAAUUAUUUUCACAUAAUCACUGCCCUAGAAUGGAACUAAUAGGGUUGACAUUGUAGUUUUUAGUUCAAUCGUCAUGCUACCAUAUAAUUGCUGCUUCAGUAAUUGCAUCUCAAACAGCAACUUAUAUGGAAAUGAGGCCCAAGUCAAUACUAGCUCAAUACAGAAAAAUAGAAUCAAAAUGCUACUCCAUAGAGCAAAACAUAUAACCAAAUUUGUUUAAUCCAUAAACAACAAUAGCUCAGUACAGAAACGUAUGCUAUAGAGCAAAACAUAAGAACUACGCAGCGGUUGCCACCACCUCCUGCUCACGAGCGGGCUCGCUCCUCGCCUCCUCACGAGCAACACGAUAUCGUCGCUGCAUCUGCCGCAUCCACCUUACGACCACUGCAGCAGUUCCCUAGAUAAAACUAGUUAUCAUUUAUGAUUCAUCGCUCUUCUUGCCACCAAUAGAAGUCCUAUCAUUGUCAACUAGUAUUUAAUGAGUUUGGCCCAGUCGAUCGAGCCCAGUAGAAGAUAAAGUGCCCCAUGCCCGAGGAUCGUGGUGAAGGUACGGGCGAAAACCAUGCGUCGCAUCACGACAUGGUAACCCCGGAGCUUGGCCCUCAUGUCGUCGUGGGAGUGAAGGAGAAGAUGGAAUUUUUUUUAUCAAAUACCCUCCAUUUUCAUUAAUAGAACGUAGAUCAGGCUACAGCACAUAAAAGAGAAAAGGAAGGUAGGUUCUGCUACAGCGACUAGGCCAUAUAAAAAACAAAUAGGCGUUCACAGGUUUUACAACAAAAGAGCACAAAGAAAUGAAGCCCAUCUAAGCUAAGAAGCAAAAGACUCAGUAUUUUCUAACUAUCCAGACACUGCAUUUAGUCCUCUCUAUCAGCAAGUUUCACCCCUUCCCAAUUUGUACCCGACAUUUUAAAUUUGUUGGAUGAAAUAGAUUCUGAUUACAAUAAAUUUGAAAUAUAUAUGUUUGAAAGUUUGUUGAUACAGUCUCAUUCACAUAGUAGCAAAAAAGAUACAAAACGGGAACCUUGCCAUGAUAAGAUAACCCCUAAAACAAAACUAAUAAGAAAAACCUGCGAAAAACAAUAAAAAGAAAAAAAAGAGAGAGGUCUUAUAUAGAGCAUAAGAAGUAUGAAAAACCCCAAAAAAAGCUAAAGCACUUGAGAGAGUUGAUUAAAUAAAUUAGGGUGGACUAGUUAGGCUUACAAGAAGCAAGAUUAAAACAUUGAACGAUAGAGAAGUAGUUUUUGUGUGGGAGAAUUUUGAUUGGGUUAAAGGAGGAAAUAUUUGGGAUUAUAGAGACAAAAAUAAAAAGGAAAAUAUUUUUUUCAAACAAACAAUUGUGAAUAAAAAUGAUAAGGAGUGGGAUUUGAUGAUUGAGGCUGCCUAGAAAGAAAACAAAGAAGAUUUCCUAAGAGAAUUGACACAUGAACUGAAUUGGGAAGGUAAGUAUAAAAGAGAAAAGAAAGAAAUAAUUUCACAAAUAGAAUAAAUUGACAGAAAAACUAAAGUCCAUGGGAUGAAUUGGGAGGACAGUGAACUGAGAAGGGAGUUCGAACAGAAGUUAAAUUAUACAAUAAGAGAAGAAAGGGUUAAAUGGUUUCAGAGAUGCAAGGAUCAGGAAACUAUAGACGGGGAUAAUAAUACAAAGUACUACAAUGCCAAGGCAAAUGGUAGGAAGAGGAAGAUCCAUAUAUAUAGCCUACUGCAAGAGAGGAAUGAGCAAUAAAAGAUCAGCACAAUUUGGUUGAGUACAUCACCAAUUAUUAUAAAAAUCUAUCUGGUCAUGCUGAGACAAAUAUCAUGUCCCUUAACAUGGAGGGAUGCUCAGAGCUUCAGGAAGAAGACAAAGAAGAUCUGAUUAAAGAAAUUUUCAAAGAGGAAGUUUUGGCAGUUGUGAAAGAAAUGAGAAAAAAUUGGGACCCUGGUCCUGAUGGUUUCCCCCAUUGAAUUCUAUGAACAUUUUUGGGGCUUGAUUAGUGCUGAUUUGAUGAAGGUUAUAUUAGAUUUCCAACAAGGGCUCAUUGACAUAAAACCUGAAUUAUGGUGUGAUAAUCUAGUCUCAAAAACUCAUUUACAGAUUUAGAAGUAUAGGCCAAUUUGCUUGUUGAAUGUGAGUUUUAAAAUUAUAACUAAAGUGUUAAUGAUGAGAUUGGUUACAAUCAUUCAAUACUUGAUAGCCAAAAACCAGACAUCAUUCAUAAAGAACAGAAACAUAAUGGAGGGGGUUUUGGUCUUGCAUGAGAGUUUGAAUUCCUUACAUCAGAAAAAACAGAGUGGUUUGUUAUUCAAGGUAGAUUUCGAAAAAGCAUAUGACAAAGUCAAUUGGAGCUUCAUUUUUCAAGUUCUGAAAGCAAAGAAAUUUCCUGACAAAUGGUGUGAUUGGAUUAUGAAAACUGUGAGAGGUGAUAAGGUUGCAAUUAAGAUCAAUGAUUAGAUUGGUCCUUAUAGUACAUAUAAAGGUCUCAGACAAGGUGACCCCAUGUCGCCAUUGCUUUUUAAUUUGGCUGUAGAAGCACUGACUAUGAUGGUGUAGAGGGUGUUGGUGAUAUGUCCUAGAGGCAAUCAUAGAGAUGAUUGUAUCGCAUAUUAUGUUUACAUAUUUAUCUGACAUUGUUCCUUGAAAUAGAUAACUCAUUAUUGAUUAAUGAAUAUGUGAUUCUUUCAUGAGACUUUUUAUGUUGUAUGUUACUAUUUCUAAAGGAUCUCUGAUCAAAUAUCAUAUGUGGAACAAAUAUGUUUAAAUGAUCAGCACAUGUAUUAAUUGAUGAUCAUGUCUCAUAGAUCAUGGUAUAAAGAUACCAAAUUAAUAAUGUGGACACAUGUUGGGGAACAUGUUGUUGGAUAGACCCAACAAGAGACUGCAAGAGCCAUAUGUGUUGUGUCAUCAGUGAUAUCUCAUUUAAUGUUGGUGCUGAAUCCUUAGACCUGAGAUUAUCAUGGUUCUCGACAUGUGUAGUAGCUUACUUAGAGACUGCUAAACACUACUCCGUAAUUGGGUAGUUAUAAAAGUAGUUUUAGGGUAUGCUAUGAAACAUGUAGUGGGAUAUGAAUAAUCAAGAUGGGAUUUGCCCCUCCUAUGGAGAGAUAUCUCUGGGCCCCUCGAUGUUAUAGAUUAUGGAAGUGUAUGGCUAUGCCAAAGAUGAUUGAGGAGUCAAUCACAAAUUAUAUAAUCUAUCACAGGUUCGAGUGAAUGAUUGAGCUAAUAGAGGAUGGCACAUAUCUAGCCUUGAGCUUAAUCGAUGUCGUGAGGCAAAGGGGUUCAUACAAGUAUACACUAGAGGUUCAGCCGAUGUGAUCUUUAUGUAUGCCCGAUGGGUCAAUACGUUCUGCUAGGGGCCGCUGUUGACACGUGGACCGAAAAGGAGUUUUUAGGUUACAGCCGAGUGUACGUGAACCUAUAGGGUUGCACGCUUAAUGGGCCGGAAUAAGGGAAUUGGAUGGAGAUCCAAUAUGAGCUUAAUUCGGAUAGGGAUCCAAAUAGGAGUCCUACGGGCCUUGGAGGCCCGAGUCAUUGGAUCCUAUAUAUUCGUGACUGGUGUGACCGACGGAUGUAUUGCAUCACGUGAGAAACUCUAGCCGCCACUCCCCUCUCCGAGCAAACCCUAGCCGCGUGGGGGUGCUAGCACAUCUGCACGUGGUGUUCCGUCCCUGUACGUGUGGAUACCGGUAGAGGCGCCGCUGUUUUGCGGUGCUGAUCGGCGUGGGAGAACGACGAGGAGAACGCACGAGGAGGAGAAGGUCGAGCCGGUGCGAUCGACUACUUCGUCUACAUCGACGCGCGCUACAUCGCGAGGGUUCCUUCACCUACUUAGCACUUUCUUCCGUUGUGCAGCGCGUCGAGUGGUAAUGAUCUAUGAUCUAAUACUUGCAUGGUUCCUAGUUUAUACGGUAGAAAAUUUUGAUUUAUGCUAUCGUAGCCUCUGCAUAUCCCAACAGAGGGCAGAACAGAAACAGUUGAUUCAAGGGUUGGAGAUAAAUAAUGAGUGUAGUAUUCCAAUUCUGCAUAAUGCAAUAUGCAGAUGACAAAAUCUUUUUAUUGAGAGACAAGCUGGAAGAUGCAAAGAACCUGAAAAACAUUUUGUGUUUGUUUGAACAAUUGUCAGGACUGAAAAUAAAUUUCAACAAAAGUGAAGUUAUUUUCCUUGGAAAUGAUGUACUGAGGCAUCAGGAAUACAGCAAAAUUUUCACAUGCAACAAAGGGGACCUGCCUAUGAGAUAUUUAGGAAUACCAAUUGAUCAAAAACACAUUCUAAAUAAGGAUUGGGGGCAGACAGAAAAGAAAAUGGAGAAGAAAGUGGGUUGCUGGCAAAGGAAGUUGCAGUCAAUAGGGGGCAAAGUUACUCUAAUAAAUUCCAGUCUGAGUGGAACACCUCAGUAUAUGUUGUAUUUUUAUAGAAUUCCAAAAGGGGUCAAAGAAAUAAUGGAUUUCUAUAGAAGAAGAUACUUGUGGCAGGAAGAUCGAGGAAUCAGAAAGUACCAUAUAGUGCAGUGGCCUGUGGUGUGUUCACCUAGAGAUCAGGGAGGCAUGGUUUUGUUAGAUUUAGACAUUAUGAACAAAGCACUUCUCGGGAAAUGGCUUUGGCCUUUGGAAAAUACAGAUGGUAUAUGGCAGCAAUUACUUAGAGAAAAGUAUCUGAUAAAGAAAAUUCUUGCAAACAAGAAGUUGAAAAAUGGUGAUUCUCAUUUCUGGCAGGGGAUGAUAGAUAUUAAGGAGGCAUUCAUGCAGUUCAUAAGGAAAAAGCCAGGGGAUGGGAAGAAUAUUCUUUUUUGGGAAGAUAAUUGGUUGGGUGGGAGACCCAUAGCUGAACAAAUACCCCAGGUUUACAGUGUCACUCAUUCAAAAAAUAUAACUCUAGCUAUGGUAAAAGAAAAAGGUUGGCAAUCAAUUGUUUUUAGAAGAAACUUAACUGGAGACAGGCUGAGGAGUUGGAAUGAAUAAAACAAAGUUACAAAGAUGUGAUAAUAUCAAACUGUCUAUACAAAAAAGAUAAACUAAGAAUGGGGAAUACACUCUCAAAACUUUUUACACUUUUUUGAAAAUACAGGAUAUGAUCCCAAGAUUGCCAGGGAAGCACAAAAAAAUCUGGAAGUUAAAAGUUCCAUUAAAGAUAAGGAUCUUUAUCUGGCUUCUGAUAAGAAAAAGCAUCCUCACAAAGGAUAAUUUAAUGAAGAGAGGGUGGAAAAAAGGAGCUGAGUUGUGUCAAUUCUGUGAUAAAAAGAAACAGUAAACCAUUUAUUUUUAGAUUGUCCACUUGCCAGGUUUACAUGGAAUGUGGUGUUCUGUGCUUUUGAUUUAAAACAGAUCACAAGUCUCAAACAUAUUUGGGGAGAUUGGAUACAGGGCAAGGACAAAACAACAAGCCAAUUGAUUCUAGUGGGGGUUGCAGCAGUACUUUGGUCAAUCUGGAAACAUAGAAAUAAUGCAUGUUUUAGUCAAAUUUAUCCUAUUGAUCCAACUGAAAUUAUUUUUUGUGCUUGUUACUGGAUAUCAACCUGGGCUGUUUUGCAGAUUUCGGAGGAAAAGCGAAGAAAGCUGCAGUGGGGGGUACAACUUCUAAAACAGGUCACAAAUGAGAUCUUCAAAUCACAGUAUGGAUGGAGAACAGGAUCAAGAAGAUUGGAGGGGUGAACACAACUGGACUUCCAGAUGGGGAGGAGAAUGAACAAAAACACCAACUACGUGCAAUAUCUGGAUAGUUGGAAAAUACUAAGGCUUUUGCUUCUUACUUCCUCCAUUUCAUAUUGUAAGACUUUCUAGCAUUGCUCACAUUCAUAUAUAUGUUAAUGAAUCUAGACAUAUAUGUGUGCGUAGAUUCAUUAACAUCUAUAUGAAUGUGGACAAUGCUAGAAAGUCUUAUAACCUGAAACAGAUGUAGUAGCUUAGAUGGGUUUUCCUUUCUUUGUGCUCUUUUUUUGUUUGCAAGACCUGUGAACGCCUGUUUGUUUUGGAUGUGGCCUGAUCGCUGUACUAGAACCUAUAUUUCAUUUUUCUCUUUUAUGGGCUGUAGUCUCAUCUGGGUUUCUAUUAAUGGAAAUGGAGGGCGUUGUCAUUUGAUAAAAAAAACUCCAAUUGUAUAGUGAGCUGAUUGACCAUCGUCUCCUUCACUCCCACGACGACAUGAGGGUCGAGCUCCGCAGUUACCACGUCGUGAUGUGACGCAUGGUUUACACCCGAACCUUCGCCACGAUGCUCGGGCACAAUUGUUUUGCUUUGCUUUGUAUUGCUUUACAAGUUAUAUAUGCCCUUAUAUUGGAAUCUUAAUCAUCUAAAUAUAUUAAGCUUAUCAUCGGUCUUGUUAGAAUUAAUCUAACAUUAGAUACAUAUUUGUUCAAAAAAAAUAUUCCAGUAUAAGGUUGUAUCGGAGCUAUAGCCGAUACAUGCUUAAAUUUGUUCAUCAGCUAUGACAUGAACUUGUAUAAUCUUUAUUUCAUAGAACUUCGGAUACAAGUGAUUUAUACUGUCUCGAUUAAGUUUGAUUUAUCCCAAUCACUGUUAUUUGAAGUAAUGACGAUUCAUAGAUUAUGUAACGUUCAUCUUUACAGCCGAUGACACGAAUUUAGGGUCUUAAUUUUAUUGCUACAUCUUAUAGCCGAUUCAAACCAGGUUGCAUCGGCUAGGUUAAAGACGAUAUGUCAUCGGCCCUCCAGCCGAUUGGCUAUCGUUUAUAAAUUUAACUGUUUAUCUCGUUUCUUGUUGGUUGUAGGAUCAAACCAAUUGGCACGCCCUAGACCCUAAGGCAAGUUUUUGCACUAGAGUUAAGCAAAUCUCUCAGGCCAGUGUAUGUUUGUUUGCAUCAACAAUGUGUAAAGUGCUAGAUCGGAGACCAUUGAUCCUAAUCCUUUUGUAUGUCGUAUGUAUUUGUAUAUAGAGACUUAUGUGUAUUGUUGGUACAUUACAUUUCAAUAUAGUAUCGGUGAAUGAUUUACCUUUUUCUAUUAUGGUUUCUGAAUUACAUACAAUAUGAUGGAAAACUUGCAUUACAUGUGCAAUAUGCUUGGUUUAAAUCAUAGCGGUUAUUACGUGUGUUGCACGUGCAUGAUUACUUAAGUAAUAGUAGUAUUGUUGCAUCAAGCAAGAAGAUGCCAACACUAAAUCUAUCGAUAUCUUAACUAAUGAAAAGUGGAACUCAAAAUGAAUUGAGGAUGAGUGACAUCAUUUAAUGAAUUGAGAAUAAAUAAAUCUGGACCGUUGGAUUAGAUGGAUGAUAAAAAUAAUAAUUAAAGAGGCUUCCGGUGAUAAAGCUACUAGAAGAGGAAAGAAAGAGUAAAGGGAAAAAAAGCUAGAGAAUAGGCAUAUGAUGCAAAUAAUUUACGAAAUGCUCCUAUAAUAAAAUAAAUUAUUUUACAAAUAAACCCUCAUCCUAAUCACAUAUUCACAUGUCAAGAUUCGGCUAUUUAAGAACAUAUACAAAUGUGCGUUCAUACGAUUAAUUUUGUUUCUAACAAUUAAUUGUUAACAUAUUUGAGGCAAAAAUUGCUACAAUAACAUGCACAAUCAUAUCGUCCGAAUAUAGGUUUAACGUUUUUCACAUGAAUUUAAAAUGAAAUCAAAUUCAUUCCUUAAAAACCUACAAAAUAUUUCAGCAUAGGCUAUAAAUAGUGCGCGCCUAUACGAAAUAAGGGGUCAUGCAGCCGUGAAAACCUAUAAAACAAUGACUCACGCAGAUAUAAAAUUUGUAAUAAAUAUUAAGCUAUCUAUUGUAUGAGCAUAAUAUUAGUCAUCCUGACCCAUUUUUUUUCGAGCGAUGAGAAACCCAUAAAAACAGAUUGCCACUCAUGUGUACCAUGUAACAUGAGGCAUAGAGUCACGCGAAUGCGCAAUAUCAUAGGCUAGUAAACCAUUAUGAAAAGUACGAGUAUUAGAUUGUGUGUUCUGUGGUAGGGGCUGGAAGCUUCUUUCCCGCACACGUAAAAUAGGGUGGCUCAUUAGCGCAUGAAUAAUUAAGUCUUAGCUUAAAGAAAAACAUAGAAAGGAAUUAAUAUAAAUUUUUAAAUUAAUUUUGCUAUAUAUUUUUUUUGUGAAAAAAUGUGUGGUACAUCUAGCCAUUCGGGAAGCGUACUCAGUGAAAACAAAUGAGUAGAAGGUAGGAAGAAAGAGUAUAGAUAAGUUUGUACUUCCAGAGGGGUUGAUAAUACUUCAUUUGAACAAAGACUAUUGUCAAAGUUUUAAAAACUUGGACUAUGAAUAUCAAGAUCUAAAGUAUGUGUUAGAUAUAAGGAGAACUAUAUUUGUUUUAGUCUAAAAAAACAUAAAUAAAAUUAUAUGUUUAUUAAUAUUUCUACAUAUAUUGUAAUAAAAAAAUAGGGAUGAGUCCAUUUUACACCCUUCAAGUCUUGUCUAGGUUUAAAACUCAUCCCAAACUCUUAAACCGGGUAUCCAACUGUUGAUGCGAAAAACACGAGGCCUGAAAGAUCUGCUUAACUUCAGUGUAGGUCCAAAAAUCUUGCCUUUAGGUUCGUAAGCGUGCCAGUUAAUUUGAUCAUGCAAUCAACAAGAAACAAAGACAGAAAAUAACAAUUAAAUCCAUAAACGAUAGCCGAUCGGCCAGUCGCUGAUGACGUAUCAUUUAUAUUUGAGCCGAUGUCAUAUUUGAAUCGAUCGGCAAUCAUGAAUAACUGAAAAAGAACUAAAUCUAUUCGAUCGGCUGUAGGUAUUAACGAUAUAUAAUCCUUCUGUCGAUGUAUAUUUAAAUCAAGUGAUUGGGAUAGAUCGGUCGUCAUGCCGAGACAGUAUAAAUUACUUAGGUCAAAAUAUACAUUAACAUAAAGAUUAUAACCGUUCAUAACAUAGCCGAUUAGAUAGAUCUAGCAUGUAUCGGUUAAUACUCUGAUACCACUCUAUAUUAAGAUAUUAAAGCAGGCAGAAUAUAUCAGACAGGAAGCUUAAUAUACCGAAAUGCAACAAGAUCUUAACAUAAAGGGCGGAUUUAACAUGUCAAUAAAGCAUAUAAGACAUAAAGUAGUUAAAUCAGAUAAGAUCGGCUGAAACCCCGAUACUACCCUAAUCGACUACCAAAAACAGGCUAGAGAUUGAGAUUCUCAUCACGACUUAUAAGGUCAAACUCAACUGAUGCAGUUAUAAGUAUGAAAAGAAGGACCAUAUCUAGACAAUCAAGCCGUUGGAUGUUUCAUAGGGUGGUAGAUAUCCUAUAUAAUCUAAGCCAACAUUGCUAUUUAACCUAAUCGGCUGCCUUCCAAUGAUAGAUGUUAGUUGAUCGAAGGUUAAAUAGCAAUAUUAUCAAAGAUUAUAUAAGAUAUAUGAUAACUAGACGAAUUACAUAAACAAGAUUAGAGUAUCAUAAAGAUGGAAGCACUAAUCCCGAGAACACAAGCCGCCAUAACAAGUUUUACCUCUAGCUGAAGAUCGAAACCGAUGCAGCUCAACCCGAAAGCAAGAACUCGUCGAAAGUAAACGAAGUAAAAGGGUGGCGAUGCGCCGAGAUUGUAUUGAACGUCUAUUAUUUGAUUACAUGGGUUCGGGUCAUAUUUAUACCCGAGAUACAAAAUAUGUCCUUGUCGGACACGACUCUUAUCUCUAACAAACUCUAAGAUACCAUAAAUCUUUGCGGCAGACUUUUGCCAAACUUAUGUAUAAGGAAUUUACAUAAAAUAUCAUAAUUAAUAGAUACAAUUGCCUUUUCAGUACUCAAUCCGUGCGUGGCAAUCCAUAUGAAGCACCCUAAUUCAACCCGAUAACGUGUACCGAAUCGUAUUGUCGGAAUCGGCUCAAUCGGCUAACCUUGUCCGACUAGAACUCUACCGAUUCUAGUUGCAGCCGAUUCGGACUUUAGCCGAUUCUUCCUCUGUUUCCGGAACGGUCUCUAUCUUCGAUUCCGCUUCGGUUUUAUAUCCAUCUCCGAUACUUAAAUUACCAAAUUCGGUCGUUAACACCAACACUCUCUAACUAUCAAAACAGUUCAAUUUACCCUCCUUUGACGGGCGGCACAGGAGCACGGCCUCACGAGGCAUACGGCGCAGUGCCAGAGCAUGGGCACACUGCGGCGCAACGCAAAGAGAAUGAUUUGAGACGAUGGUGUUGCGAGUAGGAACUGGCAAUUACACAUUCCAAUAUCCUACCCUUUUAAAAUGGACGGUUAGAUUUGAAUGGUAUAUACUUGGUACCUAGUGGUACCUCCUCAAGGAUGGUGAAAUUCCUCUUAAACAAAACAAAACAAAACAAAACUUUAUUGCAUAUUAUAAAUUAGGAGUCGAAACGAUUACAAAUGGAGAUUUUUUACUGUCCUUGAGGAUGUGAGGUACCAAAUCUUGACCAUCGAUCUUGUAUCAUCGGACGGCUGAGAUUGGAGCGUACCGCGUCGUACCGCACGCGCUGGUUUCAGCGGUACCGCUGUGGGGGGAAAAGGUAUUUUCGCGUUAUCCCGCAACAGCGAGAGAGAAGGGGUCCUUUGAUUCCGCUCGAUUCCGCCGAGCGGUAUCCUCUCUGGGCUCUCUUUCCUUAGUUCGUCUUCAUCUGCCCAUCUCUUUCGUUCUCUCGGCUCUGUUUCCUUCUCUCAUCUUUCUCUCCAAUUUCGUUGUGGGCGCACGCAGAGGGAGGAGUGCAGAUGAUGGGGGAUGGCAGAUCCCUAGACCCCCCCCCCCCCCCCCCAAUCUGGUCGUGCUCCCCUUCAAGCAAUUGAGGCAAUUCUGCCGCAAGUAGGGUGGGGCUGGUGCUGUCAACAGCGCAACAGCGGUUAGAUUCAGCUGCUGCGGGAGUCGUGGCCUGGAAAACGGAGAGGAACCGCCAGAUCGUAGGGCCACACCGCUACACCGCCAGAUCCUGGAGAGUUUGGCCACCGGCUGGAAUCAAUUGGUUGAUGCCGAAGCUGUCAAGAUGGGUGAUGUAUGUGUUUUCCGUUUCAAUGACUCUGAUGAUGAGCUUACUCUUGAAGUACAUGUUCUUAGUUAGUGUGAUGGAUGAACAUCACCAUUUUGCCUGGCACUGUGUACCGCCACUCCUAAGUUAGUAUAUAUGAUGUAAUCGUGAAGACUAUAUGACGAUGUGCUUAGUCUUAAUGUUCCUGCACUUAUGUACUGUGAUGGAUGAACAUCACUAUUUUAUCAAGCAAUAUGUACUGCCUUCCUAUGAUGUAAUUAAGUUAGUGGAUGAACUAUCUACACAUCUGUUUAAUCCUAAAUGGAUGCUAUUCAGUUUGCUUUGAAAAUUGAUGUUCUGGCUGCUUCGGUUCUGGCGGCUAUGAAGUUCUUUCGGCAUUGGUUCUUCCGUGUAAUUCUGUUGUGUAAUUCGGCACCCAGUUACACACAACUUCAACUCCAGGCGUGUGGUACAUGCAUAUUUCAAACUAACAAACAUCUUCAAAUCCAGGCACACUGCAUGGAUAUUUUGCACUUAAACAGAACUGAUUAAUAGCUACUCGUACAGUUUAGCUCAAGUGAAAAAAACAUAACAUGCAAGUACUUCUGCUCCAAUACAAAUAAUCUUGCCAGCUAAUCUAUACAUACAGCAACACAGGCGAUGGCGUGGCGACGAAACGAUUGGAUCAACCGGCGAUGGCGACGGAACUGACAGAAGGAGAACACAGUAGGGGAUUGCGCUGCUCUGUCCGGGAUGGCCGGCGGCGGUGGGCGGUGGGCGAACUAAAAACUCCCAGCCGGCAUUGGCGCCGGCGGCGGAACUAAAUGGCGGCAACGACGGAUGAUUAGGGGCUACGGCGGCGGAACUGCUGCGGCGGAGGACGAAACGCUCCGCCCCGAGACUCGCGCUCUGACUUGACGGGAAGGGAUUGCGACGACGGCUCGCUGCUUGAGCGUAGCCGACCCAGAGGCCCAAUCAGCGAAUACCUCCUUUUUUAUCCUAUCGUGCCCCUGCCAAAUCAAUGGCUAGAUUUGAUUGGUAUCUCAUAGUAUCUUUUCAAGGAUAGGAAAAGAGCUCAUCACCGCCUCCUCCUCCGGCGUGAAUUCGUUCUUAAUCGAAAGCGUCUCCCUCAUCUGUUCCGGUGUCUUGCCGGAAAUCGUGCCCACUCGGCCGACGGCCGCUGCCGGCACUGCGCCGCGGCUCCCGCCUCCGCCGGUGCGCCCAGCCGGCGGCCGCCCCUGCCGUGCUGCCCCCGUGCUGGCGUGGUCUUCGGCUCGCCGCGCCGCCGCCGCCGCACGCCGCGCCCGCCGCCCGCGCCGCAACGCACGCCACCACUCGCGCCGCAACACACGCCGCCGGCUGUGGCUGUCUCCAAGCAAAAUUAGGGUUAAGGUCUUAGGGAAUUGGGGAUUUUUGGGAGGAGGGGAUUUUUGUUUGGAAAUGGGCUCAGUUCCAGCCCAAAUAGACCGCGGGCCGAGUGGAAAGGGGGAGGGGAGUGUAAAAUUUAGGCCCAAUACAACAGAAAUGGUAAAACAAGGCCCAAAUAAGUAGUUUAACUCUUUUUCUUUAUCUUUUUCAUACAUUUUUUUAGAUAAUGGAAUAUAAUCCCGGCCUUUACUCAAAUAGCUACAGCCAAUUAUUAUAUCAACUCAACAAAAACUCACACCUGAAUAAACAAAAGCAUAGACGAACUAAUAAAACACACACAGCAUAAACGAUCACAAAAAUUAUUGAAUUCUAUUUGUGAAUCUCCAUCCAAAGUUGGCGAACAGCUGCAUAACCAAUGACUCAAGAUUACGACAUGCAGCUUUCAUUGACUUGAUUUCUUCAUCACACUUUUGUAGCUGAGCCCAGGAUCGGAGCCAAUAUGUUGUCCUGAAAAGAACCUGCAUAUAGGAUAUAGAUGGUGAUUUAUCAAAAACCAUAUCAUUUCUACACAACCAUAUAGCCCAACAUAUAGCGGAUGCUCUAACAAGAAUAAGUUUGGUAGAUUUUUUAUAACUCCCACGAGCCAAUUCUCAAAAAUAUAAGAUAUACUAUGAGGAGUAUAUAAACCAACAUUAAACUGUAGAGCUCUCCAAAGAAAUUUUGCAUAAUGACACUCUACAAACAAAUAUUGAAUAGUCUCAUUUCUCAUGCAAAAACAACAUUUCAAACUACCAUGCCAAUUUCUCCUAGAUAAGUUAUCCUUUGUUAGAACAACCCCUUUAAGUAGGUACCACAUAAAAAUCUUAAUCUUGAGAGGCAUCUUAAGUCUCCAUAUAAUCUUAUUCCUCUCAAUGUUGCCAUUAUUAAUUAAAGCUAAAUACAUAGACCAAACCGAGAAUACACCAUUUUGAUGGAAAUUCCAUCUAAAAAUAUCAUUCUCCUCUGACAAAUGAAUAUGAACAAUUGAAGCACAUAAAUUAUGCCAAUUGUUUAAAUUCUGUCCUACUAAAAGCUCUCCUAAAAGAAAUAUUAAGUGAAACAAGAGACAUAACAUUUGCAAUUGAAGCAUUCCUCCUACGAACUAUAGCAUAUAACGACGGAUACCUAUCUUUAAAAGAAUAAUUCCCUACCCAUUUAUCUUCCCAAAAUUUGACUUGUACACCAUUAUUCACAAUCCAGGAACCCAUAUUUAGAAACUUACUCUUAACUUUCAUAAGACCAGACCAAAAAUGGGAAUCCCCUUGUUUCUUCUCAACCUGACUUUAGGAUUGAUUAUAAAGAUAUUUCAUUUUCAAUAGAUCCUGCCACACACCCUGCUCGUUUAUGAGCCUAAACAACCAUUUACUCAAAAGAUAUUGAUUUUGAAUUUCAAGAUUAUGAACUCCAAGACCACCCUAAUCUUUGGGUUGACAAAUCAUAUCCCAUUUAGUAAGCCUAUACUUCUUCUUGUGUUCAUCCCCUUGUCAAAAGAAAGUGAUCUAUAAUAAUCAAUUUUUUUGAAGACCUCCUUUUGGAAUCUCAAAAAAAGAAAUCAUAAACAUGGCUAAUCUAGAAAGCACAAAAUUAAUCAACACCAACCUCCCCCCCUCCCCAUAUGUUUACCUUUCCAACUACUAAGUUUCUUUUCAAUUCUUUCCUCAACUGUUUUCCAAUCCUUGUUACUAAGUUUUCUAAAAUGCAUAGGAAUACCAAGAUAUCUCAUAGGGAAAUUCCCAAGCUUACAACCAAAAAUAGUAGAAUAAAGCUCUUGACAUUCCUUUGCCUGACCAAAACAAAAUAAUUCACUUUUAUGAAAAUUAAUUUUAAGGCCAGAUAAUUUUUCAAAAGUCGAUAGUAACAAUUUUAGAUUUUUGGCUUGUAGUAGAUCAUGUUCAAAAAAAUAAGAGUAUCAUCUGCAUAUUGCAAAAUAGAAAGACCAUCAUCCACCAAGUGUGGAAUAAUCCCACUAAUUUGACCAUCAUCCUUGGCCCUCUUAAUUAAUAUAGUAAGCAUAUUAACAACUAUAUUAAAAAGAAUUGGAGAUAAUGGAUCUCCUUGUCUAAGACCCUUAUAAGUUUGAAAAUUAGAACCAACUUGAUCGUUUACUUUUAUACCCACAUGUCCCCCCUAGAUAAAAGAGGCAAUCCAUUGACACCAUUUUGACCAGAAACCCUUCAUCCUUAAGGUUUGUUGAACAAAAGACUACUUUACCUUAUCAUAAGUUUUCUCAAAGUCAAUCUUAAUAAUUACCCCAUUCUUGUUUUUGCGAUGCAAUUCAUGAAUAGUUUCAUGUAAAAUAACAACUCUUUUCAUGAUAUUUCUCCCAGUAAUAAAAGCAGUUUGAGUACUACUAAUGACUUUUUGGGCAACCCCAAUUAUUCUGAUCUUUUUCAUAUAUAUAUAUAUGAACUAUAUAGUAUAUAUACCUAUUUUUUGUCCAAAAAUCUUGGGUAUACAUCUGAAUGCCCUUUAAUUAUAGCUGGGCUGCCCCUGGUAGAACCUCGUGUGGUUGUAUUUAUUGCUUAAACCAGCGGGAGAUAAUUAAACUCCGAGUAGGAGUCGUAUUUUAAUCUCAUUUUACUUCUGUAAUAAUGUAAUUUAAUAUCGAGAAAUAAUUAGAGUAGUCGUUUCGAAAAGGAGUCCAAUUAGACCAUGGGAGAAGGUUUCGAAAAUGAGUCCAGUUAAAUCUCUUCACGACGUACGUACGUUUGUACGUACUCAAAACUAACGCGGAAAUAACUGAAAAUCAAUUGAAUUUGGAUCAGAUUCGGACUCCGGAUCACCGCAUCCGUCUUGUUUUUGCGCGGUUUCACGCAAUAAAAACAGACCACCUCUCGCCGUGAUCCAAGCACCAAACGCUAACGUUCCAAGAGUCUUGGGGUCCAAGACAAGACAAGACAAGAAACAGUUGAGCUUUGCAAUCCGCGAGUUCUUUCGUCCGUGUUCAAACUUCAAAGUAGAGAGAUCAAUGGCGGCAGAGAAGAAGGAGGUUGCCGACGCCGCCGCCGGCAGCGGCAGCGACACAAUCCUCCUAAUCAGCUCCGACGGCGAGCACUUCAACGUGCCGUCGGCGGCGGCGAGCCUGUCACAGCUCGUCUCCAACAUGAUCGAGGACGACUGCACGACGAACGGGGUGCCUCUCCCCAACGUCGCCUCCAAGGUCCUCGCCAAGGUCAUCGAAUACUGCAUCAAGCACGCCGCCGCCGGGGAGGAGGAGGAGAAGGAUCUGAAGAGCUUCGACGCCGAGUUCAUCGAUGUGGACAAGAACAUGCUGUACGACCUGCUCCUGGCGUCCAAUUUCAUGAACAUCAAGAGCUUGCUGGAUUUGUGCUGCCAGCACACGGCGAACCUGAUCAAAGGCAAGUCGCCGGAGCAGAUCAGGAAGGAGUUUGGGAUCAAGAACGACUUCACGCCGGAGGAGGAGGAGGAAAUCCGCAAGGAGAACACAUGGGCCUUCGAGUAGAUUUUCCUUUGGGAAAAUAUUUAUGCUAAUUAAUUAUGUCAUGUUGCUGCGAAUUACUGCUCUAAUUAGUUACUACUAGGUAGUAGUACUAGUAGAGGUUCAGAUAAGAAAUUAGAGGAAUAUUUUGAGUGGCUUUUGCUUAAUUGUCAGUAACAUGCAUGCAUUGCAUGCUUAUAUAUAUUACCUUUGUACUAAUAGUUUCGACUCCCCUACUUAUAUUCUGCAAUAUAUGAAGUGCUCAUUAAGUCAUUAGUGCAAACUGUUUCCUUGCUCUUGUGGUUGUGAAAAGGGGCUUCUAAUUAGAAGCCGAUCUGACGUAGGGACUAAUGUGGAAUAUUUUGAUCCAAAGUAGGGACCAAUGUAUGAAUUGAACUUGCAACAUUACACUUCAUAGGGGCCGAUUUGAAAAAUUCUUGGAUCGUGCAUGCACGGCGUGGAUUAAAUAAUACUCGAAGCGGUACGAGCAACUUAUGCAGAAACACCCUUUAAAUAUAUUACUGUUUAAAUGAACCCCCCUAUUUGGACCGCUAAAAUAAAAUUGGUAGCGAUCCAAUCCUCGGGUCGUCGUACACCGUCCGAUCAAAACUGCGUGGCUCAGAUCGGCGACCGGCUUCCAGUGGGUUUGGUGCAUUUUUACAAAAUAGCCCCUGCGUGGGUUUUACCAAUACGAAUUCUCUCCGCCUCGUCGUCCCGUUCAUCGCCGGCGCCGCCGCGCCGCCGCCGCCAUCGUCUCCACCGGCCACCGCCACUCCUAGAGCCUGGAUGCCCCUCCAUUCGCAGUUCGAAUCCACGCAUCCACCGCCGCGCCGGAGGUAAUUUUCUCUCCACUCCCUUCCCUUCUCGUUGCUGCAAUGCUGCUACUAAGGGCAAACUCGAUGGCAACCAUGGAUCUGUACGAACGGGAAGAAGGGAGGGUUAGGGUUUCAUUAACGGGCGCAUACUAAUAAAACGACCGCAUUGGGGAACGGGUUAGGGUUUGGGGAUUUUUGGGUUACCGGCGCUGAUCCCCAAAUCUCCAAUGUGCCAUGAUUAUUUGAAGCUAGACUUGCCUACUAGGAUCAUUAAUUCAAUUUGACAAUUUCAUUGGCAUUUGUGUUUUAUAUUUCUUGCGGAUUGCGUGUGCUUAGGUAUUUCAGUUGCUGUGUGAAUGGAAAAAUCCUGUAAUUUAAUUUCUGACCCAUAGCUGUUUUGAAAAAUUACUGAUCCAUGGUUGUGUUUGCAACGAAGUCUGAUGAUACUGAUGUAGAAUUUAUUAUACUUCUGUAGUAUGAGUACUUGUUUUGUUGCGUGUGUCUAGGAUAACAUUUUGGUUUAGUGCAUUUGCAUGUGAUCUAUGGCUAUUACUUCUCAUGUUUGCUGUUCUGUUGGCUUGAUCUAAAGAGAAUCAUGUGUCUUAAGAGUCUGUCACGAGUGUUCUCUUGUACUGUUCUUCGUGUGUUUUCCUCCCAUGUCCAAGAUAGCAUCACAAGAUUAGUACUGUACAUAUACACAAAUUUUAGUGAAACUACUUGCUGUCACCUGUCAGCAUCCAGAUGAUGUUCAACAUGAAUCCUAUUUCUUGCCAGUACAUUGGACAAACAUCACAUGAGAUGUACAAGUCCCUGACAGUACCGUCAUGUUCAGUACCGUCCUGGUUAGUACGACUCACUGACAACCAAAUCACAGAUUCAAGUGACUGGAUUUACAGAGAAAUCUAAUUUGCAACUCUAACUUGCAAGAGAAAAUUAUGUAAACAAUUAAGGCAGCAUUGACACUUGAGCAAUUGAGACAUGCCAUAUGAACUUGGAGGCAUCAAGGCGAGGCCAACCAUACACUUGCAUUUGCUACAGCGACACUAGAGUUUUCAGUCAAAAUAAUGCACUCAACUCAACACACAGAAGAGUAUCCAUCUAAUGCUAGAGACAAUGAGGCUAAACUAGAUUGAUGAAAGAUCCUCAUACACAGACUUGAUCCCAGGUCUUUCAGAGACCGGCCGGAUGCAUCUCAAGGCAAUGCCCAGCACAUCCUUCAUGCCCUUGACAGAAACUUGGUUCUCAGAAUCUGAAGCCAUGGCUGGAUCAAAGCAAUCUGAUCCCCGACCUUCAGCCACCCGCAGACGGACCCAAUCAGUCAGGUCAACACCACCUUCAGAACCCGAGACAACAUCCCCAGCACACCUGCCAGUUAGGAGCUCCAGCAGCACGACACCGAAGGCGUACACGUCAGACUUGAACGAGGGAGAUGGCUUCUUGGACGCUGCUAGCUCUGGGGCACGGUAGCCUAGCACGCCCAGGUCGAGGAUCUGCUCAACAACUCCAGCCUGGGUCAUCAGGCGGUGCAGGCAGUAGUCAGCGACACGGGCAUUGAGGUCAAGUCCGUCCAACAAGAUGUUGGUAGCCUUGAGGUUUCCAUGAGGCAUCGCUCGGUCAAAAUGGAGGUAGUUCAGGCCACGCGCGACAUCAACUGCGAUCUUCAGCCGUUGCGCCCAGGUCAGUGGAGGGCCUCUCCUUCCUGGACGAUCUGCUAGGUUUCAGAGGAACAUAAAGCUUAGUUAGAGACUGAACAUAUUGGUAACCAACCAGUCACAUGCAUUUGCAGAUGGAGUAUACAAGAUCUCUAAGCCUGAUGUGUUCAAUUGCAGAAAUGAGAAACCAGUAAAUGAGAGCAUUACCGUACAAAAAGCUCGCAAGACUUCCUGGUGAAACAUAAUCCGACAAGAUCAGUUUUUCAUGUGCUGUUGGACCCCAGUAGUAACCACGCAAGCCAACAACAUUGGGAUGCCUAAUGUUUGCAAACUUCUUGGCCUCCUUCGAGAACUCUUUCUUGGGCCUUGCAACACCUUCCCUCAGCCAUUUCACUGUUAGGAAGACACCAUUCUCAAGUGUUGCUCUGUACGAAGUCCCGUGGCUGCUCCUCCCAAGAACCUCAGCCGGUGCCCUUGACAAUUCCUCCGGUGUCAGUGUGAUUGUUUCAUCCAGGAAGUGCAACUCCCCUGCUAACCUGUCAGGUGAUCUGACAUCCAACCGUGCCAGGCCUUCCUGGGUGUAUGCCUCUCCAGAAUCUGGUGACCAAGAGAAGCGGCUACCUUUGGAUGGGGAAAAUCCCCCUACACCUGACAGCUUCUCUUCUUGGCUUAGUGCUUCAGAUGUAGAGCCCUUUCGAGGAGCACCAAGCUCAUCUGCUGAGACCACCAAACCACCUUUGUCAUCCUUUCCUUUUGUACUGGCCAUGUCUUUGCUAGUCUUGUGGAGGUUCUUGUCUGAAACCUUUUCUGAGCUAGGGAACUGCCGUGAGAUUUGCUUGUAAUGGCAAACAAUGGCAACAAGGAUAAGGAUGACAAGAGCAACGAUACUAGCUGCUAUAAGUGCUAUUUUAGCUGCUGCACUGAGUGACCUGCCACCAGCUGAACCAGAGGAACUGCCAGACCCAGAAGAGCUAGCAGGAUAGUCUAGUCUCGAGUUCCCAGGAUGGAAGGAAGAUUCUGGAAACUUCCUCAAGUUCACUGGAACAACACCAGAUAGAUCAUUAUAAGAGGCAUUGAAUGAUUGCAAUGUAUCUGGAAGUGCAUCAGGCAAUGACCCAGUGAACUGGUUUAUUGAUAUGUCGAGAGCAGUGAGCGCUGCAAGCUUGGUGAUAGAGGCUGGCAAAGGACCAGAGAAAUUGUUUGUAGAUAUAUCAAGAGCUUGGAGGCUAGAUAAAGAUGCUAUUUCAUCAGGGAGGCUGCCAUUAAAGUGAUUUCCAGAAAUAUCAAGAACUUGAAGACUCAGAUUUUUUGACGAUGAUCCUGGAAAUGAUAGACCUCCACUAAGCAUAUUGUCGUGGAUGUAGAGCUCUUGCAGCAUGGACGAAGUGAGUAAAUUAGCAGGAAUAGGACCUCUGAACUGAUUGGAGCUGAGAUCAAGGACAGUGAGUUUGGGGUACUGAACAACAGCUUCAGGGAUGGUGUCAGCUAGGGAAUUAUGGGAAAGAUUCAGGUAGUUCAAGCGAAGGAAUUGAGAGCUCACAUCAGGAAUUGUUCCAGUUAGAUUGUUCUGGCUAAGAUCAACAUACUCCAAAUCAUUGCUCCAUUUGGCAAUAACUGACAAAUUUCCUUUAAACUUGUUAUUUGACAGAUCUAACACAGUGCAGCUUCCAGCAAGCAUUGGAAGAUCCCCAAAGAGAGCAUUGGAGGAAAGAUUAAUAACUUGCAAGGUGGUCGAUGUGAUCAUAUUGAUGUGUCCUGUGGAUUAACGAAAAAUAUUGUUAGUCCAAAAUAACACAAGUGGAACUUAAAAGUGAUACUUUUGUUUUAAGAGAAAUGUCAUGAUAUGACAGAAAACAUAGGAGCGUGUUUGAGUUGUCCUGCUCUUUUAAUAACAAUUUAGAUAACUAUGAUGAAUGCAUUGAGUUCUAGGAGUGAUGACUUUACUCAAAUGCAAGAUAUAAUCUGUGAGACAUAAUAUUUUGAAAUGCAACAGUUCAGUAUUCUUACUCAUACACCCAGUCAGGUAUAUACAACUAGCUGCGUCCUAUUAAUAAUUGUAUUUUUCACAACAUCCAAAGGUGAAGAUCUAACAACAAAGGUUAAGAUACAUGUACUGUCACUGCAACUACACAAUGCAUUUAACAUUACUGUGGAACAGAAAUCCAUCACAAACUACUUUCAAAUAUUCUCAAUAAUACCAUUGGGGUAUGCAUGCAUAAUAAAUAACGUCUCUCUUCAUGACCAAAACUAUCACAAGCUAGCCAUCACUGAUCCAGUAAUUGCUUUGGAGAAAAUUAUUAGUCAGUAGGAGGCUAGGAGCAAAGAUUCCAAGAAAGAACCUUUCACGCAAAACAAGAAGAAUGCAAAUAUAGAAUUGGCAUAAGACAAAACAAUCAAAUGACCUACACUGGUGCACACUCAACCACAGAUCAGUAAAAGCUCAUGCCAUGCUGUGUAAUGUAAUCAACAGAUCAGUACAUCAUUGAAAUGAGAGAAUCAAUUGGUAUAAUGAACUAAGAACACUAAUGUAAGAUGCCGAUUCAAAGUUUUAUGCAAGCUGAACACUACCGAUCUGUUUUGGAGGCUGGACCUUUUGUGAAGGAGCCCCACAUCCAAUUUUUUUAAAUCAGAAUGGGCAUCCACAUGGUAUGAAGAGAAAAGGAACAAAAGGUGUAAGAAGAACAAUUUUCAGGUAGAGCUCAUUACCAGUCAGAUUAUUUGCACUCAGGUCCAGCUCACUGAGAACCAGAGAAUCCCCUUUCAGAAGUCCACUAGGUACAAACCCCGUGAAUGCAUUGUUUGCCAGUCGCAAAACUUCAAGAUCAUAGACAUAAUUGAACCCUGGCAAGUCUCCAGAUAACUGAUUAUGGCUCAGAUCAAGCACCUUCAAUCUCCCAAAUGUCGAGAGCUCAACUCCAUCAAUCAAUGACCCAGUCAACUUAUUGUUGCUCAAGUUGAGAUAUAGAACUGUCUCUGAAAUAUCUGCCAGGAACUUGAGCUCUUUGGGGGUGGUACUGGUGAGCAAGUUCCCACUGAAGUCAACAUGAGCAACAGUUGACUCAAUCAAGAAUUUCCAAUCAACACCGCCUUCCAAUUGAUUCCAGCUUAGAUCCAAAGAUUGGAGAUUCACAAGAAGGCCAAGCCCAGAUGGGAUGCCCUUUGUGAAGGCAUUGUAUGAGAGGUUCAGAGCAACCAUGCUGCGGAGACCUUUCAGAGAUGAAGGCAAUGGACCAGACAAAGAGUUUCCACUCACAUCCAGUGACUGAAGCGACGCAAGCCCAUCGAUGGAGUCAGGCAGUGGCCCUGAGAAGUUGUUCCUGGCAAGCGACAGGUUCUGCAGGCUCCGGAGAUUGCCUAUGUUAUCAGGAAUCGGCCCCGAGAACCGGUUGUUUGAGAUAUCCAUGAACUUCAGGCUCUUCAGACUACCCACAUUGCUCGGCAGGCUCCCAGACAGAUUGUUAUUGGCCAUAGAGAGCUUCACAAGCAUAGUCAGAUUGACGAACACGGACAGAUCGGCGACACCGGAGAUGCCAUGGCCAUCAAGCACAACCCCUGCCACGUUUGCGCCAUUGCACACGAUGCCGUUCCAGGAAGCCGGACAGCCAUUGAAAUCAAUCGACUCGUCGUUCCACGAAUCGGUGAUGAAUCCAGCAGGGUCAUGAGUGAUGCCCUUCUUGAAAGCAAGGAGCGCAAGGAUGUCCUGUGAAGGUAGCUGGCCAAAUGCAGGGGCAGCAAGCAGGAGCAGCACCAAAAAACUCCCAAGAAUCCCCAUUGCUGCUCUCCAGACAAAGAUUGGAAGCUACUGAGCCUCAAAGACACAGCACCUGAAGCAUUUCUUGCAGCAAAAAUGGACUGGAAGUGUAGAGUGUAUCUACCAGAAGGCUCUCACAACAAGCUGCCACUAAUACCCACAACACUUGUCCCUUUCAGCUGAUCUCCACAGUACCACACAUCACCAUAAAACCCCCAACUUUUCAGCUCCUUCCAACCUGAAAUAAGCACGGAAUGGCAAGUUAAGGACCGAAUCUUUGAGCCUCCCUGCAAGCAGGUAAAAAUCCAGCUAGUACAAAGAAAUGGCAACUUUAGUAAGGGAUCCAAAGAGUUGGUUAAACCCCUCACCAGCUUUUAACACCCAAUCAUGCAGGUAAAAAAAAGCACCAUCUUUCCCCCCUCACUAAAACAGCCCAACUACCACUAGUGUAUUAUCACAGCUUCAACCCACAAAAACACAGCUCAAAAAGCAGAAACUUUUACUCAUCCAUCCAAGCCACCAAGAAACCAAAAGAAAAACAAACCCCAGAUGCAACCAGCAAACAAAACAAAAAACCUACACACAAUCUUUAUACACUUGCAAUCUUGCAUCCUCCUUACCCAGCAAUGAGGCCGGUUGCUCUGACGCAUUAAGAACAAGCAACCACACCACCUUGGAGAAUGAAGGAAAAGAAUGAAUGGUUGCGGCGGCAGGGGAGGAGGGGAAGUGGUGGAGGCAAUGCCGUGGAGAGAAGGGAGGACGGCGGCGAAGCGAGGAACCCUAGCAAUGGGGGAUUGGGUUCUUGGUGGCUUGGCUGCUAGGGAGAAGGAGGAGAAGAGAGGGGAAUGGUGGUGGUGGUGGCUGCAAGCCUGCAGGGGAAGAGGUAGAAAGGAGAGGAGGGAGCAGCGGCGGCAGUGGGGAGUGGGACUGUGUCCUUUCUCUCUCUGUGUGUUGGCUAGAUGAAUCUUUUUUUUUUUUGGUUUGUUUUUUACCUCUGCUUGUGCUCUGUUUUGUUUUCUCCUCGCGGUUUUUUAUUGUGCAUUUUUGCGUUUUGGUCCUUGUGAUUAUGAUUAUGUGUGAAAUCGACCCCUCAGUUGUUCAAUGCAGUGGUACUGUGGUUGUACUGGUGACAACUAAACAAUACGGAAACACUUUGACCAAUGGUAUUACUAUGGUAGUUUCUCCUUUAAUAAAUGGGAUCAUAAUGCUGCGUACACAUUCUAUGAGUAUAUACGAUUUUGGCAGGCAAUACAGAAUAUUUUUUUAGUUUGAAUAAAAAAACGUGUUCUUUUCCCUACACCUUUUAUAAUUGUGUGAUUUUUAGGGGGCAAUUAUAUUUAGCUAUCUUUAUUGAUAUGAAAAUAUAGUUACGUCGUUCACCAACAUUUUAAAAUAGAUAUAAGGGGUUCGUCGAUCUAAAUACAUUAUUUCUUUUUUCGAAAACACAGACCUAACUAAUUAAUGAGCUACUAUCUGGUUUACCUCUAUAUUAUAUAUAUAUUACAAUUCUCAAUGAAAACCCUGUCAAAACCUUGAUAUAAAAUUGUGUGAGCCUUGACCCUGCUCACCUACUAACUACAGCGUACCAAUACACCCACCCAUCACUGUACGAGCCUACAGUACGAAUUAGUCCCAACAUGGAUCAGAGUUUGACUCGACACUCUGUUUUACAAUUCGUACAAAACAGCGAAAUACACUAGCAGGUCAGGGGCCAAAACGUAAAAUGGCCAAAUCCCCCCGUCUCCCUCCCAGUGUCCCCCCUCCUUUCCCGUAAUCUUUUCUCCUCCCCUUUCCCGCGAAAUCUCUUCCUUUCCCUCGCGCGCGCGCCAAAACAAAACGGAGUUGCAACGCAACAGGCGCGGUUGGGUUUGGUUUGGUUCCGCCUCGGGUCCCCCGCCCCCUCUUCUUUCCCUCGCGGACCCCAAAACCGCGGCUCAAAUGCGGCUCACUCCACGCCGGCGCGCACGCACGCACCGGGUCCGGUAGGUCGCUGCAGGUGGGCCCCACAUGGCAGCCGCCGGAGGAGGAUAACCCCCGUUGCCUCGUGAACCGUGUGUGUGCCCGGAAAAUCCGAGAAAAAACAGAGAGAGGAAAAUGUGCCAUGCCUCCUCUGUGUGUGUCUCUCUCUCCUGACCUUUUGCUUUUGCCACCGUGGCUGGAUGUGGGCCCUACCAAUGGAAAAGUUUCAUUUUUUUUCAUUGUACUGUGUUUUUUGGUAGCACGCUUCUGAGUUGUUGUUAAAAAUCAAAUGAAUCUUUUCUUCAAAGUUUUACUGCUUAAUAUGUUCUCUCUGUUUCAAGUUAUAAAUUGUUUUGAUUUUAGUCAAAGUCAAACUACUUUAAAUUUGACUUUGUUUGUUAAAAAAAGUAAUAAUAUUUUUAAUCAAGAUAAAUAUAUUUUGAAAAUAUAUUCAAUUAUAGAUUUAAUUGAACUAAUUUGGUAUUGUAAAUAUUACUAUAUUUAUCUAUAAAACUUAAUUAAAUUUAAAAUAGUUUAAGUUUAACCAAAGUAAAAACAACUUAUAACCUGAAGCGGAGGGAGUAACAAAUUAUACGUGCAACAUUAGCUUUUCUCGUUUCAUAUGCUGUUGAAAACCAAACCCACGUAGCCAUGACGAAGGGGGCCUACUACCAGAUAUUGGGCCUAUUUGGUUCUCUAACCUACCAAUUAAAAUUGGUAGUACUAAAAUCUAGGCAAAUUUUGGCACUACCAAUUUAAAAAUUGGUAGGGCAAAGUUAGCUAGUUAUGUUUGGUUUAAUACCAAUAUAAAUCUAAAAUUUAGUAUGAGAGUGAAGAAGAUUCUAGAAUGUAGCCAAAUUGAGCGUGGACACUACCAAUUGUUUUGCUUCAAUCCAAACUAACAUGUUUACUAUUAAAGUUACCAAAAUUUUGGUAGUGUCACGUUUUGGCUCCAAUCCAAAUCAGCGCUUGGAGCAGGUGGUCAGGGAAUGUUUUACCCAGGGACAUGGGUGGCGGUCUAGCCUGAAGAUUGGUGCUCCCUGAUUUUUACUGCUUUCCUUCUCUUGUUACAAACUCUUUUGUGGGUUUGUGUGUUUUGGCUGUGUGCAUCCUAGUUAUGCAGAGGCCGGGAGUUUUCUUAGUAUGGUUCUAUCAACUUGAUGUAAUCGUCUGAGAUUAAUAAAAGCUUCCUUUAUCAAAAAAAAAAUUGGCUAGU
This 37977-nucleotide long non-coding RNA is filed under the name Oryza sativa (Asian cultivated rice). RNAcentral's name for it is "long non-coding RNA (OSAT_LNC001273)". The record is from RNAcentral. Lineage: Eukaryota; Viridiplantae; Streptophyta; Magnoliopsida; Poales; Poaceae.